GACGAACGCUGGCGGCGUGCUUAACACAUGCAAGUCGAGCGGUAAGGCCCUUUCGGGGGUACACGAGCGGCGAACGGGUGAGUAACACGUGGGUGACCUGCCCUCAGCUCUGGGAUAAGCCUGGGAAACCGGGUCUAAUACCGGAUAUGACUCCAUGACGCAUGUUGUGGGGUGGAAAGCCUUGUGCGGCUGAGGAUGGGCCCGCGGCCUAUCAGCUUGUUGGUGGGGUGAUGGCCUACCAAGGCGACGACGGGUAGCCGGCCUGAGAGGGCGACCGGCCACACUGGGACUGAGACACGGCCCAGACUCCUACGGGAGGCAGCAGUGGGGAAUAUUGGACAAUGGGGGCAACCCUGAUCCAGCGACGCCGCGUGUGUGAAGAAGGCCUGCGGGUUGUAAAGCACUUUUAGUGGGGAGUAGAAAAGCACCGGGCUAAUACCCCAGGUGUCUUGACCUAACCCAAAGAAAAGCACCGGCUAACUCUGUGCCAGCAGCCGCCGUAAU
RNAcentral lists this ribosomal RNA (504 nucleotides) under uncultured bacterium. RNAcentral describes it as "bacterial SSU rRNA". It matches the Rfam family "Bacterial small subunit ribosomal RNA", at positions 28 to 524 of the family's 1533-position model. The record is from RNAcentral.